UCCGCGAUAGCUCAGCUGGUAGAGCGCUCGACUGUUAAUCGAGUGGUCGCAGGUUCGAGCCCUGCUCGCGGAGCCA
This 76-nucleotide transfer RNA is filed under the name Meiothermus ruber. Its description in RNAcentral is "tRNA-Asn". It matches the Rfam family "tRNA". From Rfam's summary of the family: Transfer RNA (tRNA) molecules are approximately 80 nucleotides in length. Their secondary structure includes four short double-helical elements and three loops (D, anti-codon, and T loops). Lineage: Bacteria; Thermotogati; Deinococcota; Deinococci; Thermales; Thermaceae. RNAcentral also lists the same sequence under 5 other names. The record is from RNAcentral.